Non-coding RNA from Echinostoma caproni, 82 nucleotides. The record is from Rfam. NCBI's taxonomy places the organism in Eukaryota, Metazoa, Platyhelminthes, Trematoda, Plagiorchiida, Echinostomatidae.
GGCCACGUAGCUCAGCUGGUAGAUCAUGCGCGUACGAAGCGUAGGCGGCGUCCACACGUGGGUUUGAAUCCCACCGAGGCUA